CGGGGUGUAGCGCAGCCUGGUAGCGCAUCUGCUUUGGGAGCAGAGGGUCGGAGGUUCGAAUCCUCUCACCCCGACCA
Molecule: transfer RNA, 77 nt
Filed under: Brevundimonas basaltis
Lineage: Bacteria; Pseudomonadati; Pseudomonadota; Alphaproteobacteria; Caulobacterales; Caulobacteraceae
Also listed under: 1 other name
Description: tRNA-Pro
Rfam family: tRNA
About the family: Transfer RNA (tRNA) molecules are approximately 80 nucleotides in length.
Source: RNAcentral